AACGAACGCUGGCGGCAUGCCUAACACAUGCAAGUCGAACGAGACCUUCGGGUCUAGUGGCGCACGGGUGCGUAACGCGUGGGAACCUGCCCUUAGGUCCGGAAUAACUCCCCGAAAGGGGUGCUAAUACCGGAUAAUGUCUUCGGACCAAAGAUUUAUCGCCUUUGGAUGGGCCCGCGUUGGAUUAGCUAGUUGGUAGGGUAAAAGCCUACCAAGGCGACGAUCCAUAGCUGGUCUGAGAGGAUGAUCAGCCACACUGGGACUGAGACACGGCCCAGACUCCUACGGGAGGGAGCAGUGGGGAAUAUUGGACAAUGGACGAAAGCCUGAUCCAGCAAUGCCGCGUGAGUGAUGAAGGCCUUAGGGUUGUAAAGCUCUUUUACCCGGGAUGAUAAUGACAGUACCGGGAGAAUAAGCUCCGGCUAACUCCGUG
This 433-nucleotide ribosomal RNA is filed under the name uncultured bacterium. RNAcentral's name for it is "partial 16S ribosomal RNA". It matches the Rfam family "Bacterial small subunit ribosomal RNA", at positions 29 to 507 of the family's 1533-position model. The record is from RNAcentral.